AUGAAACGUCCCUCUUAGAAGAUGCAUGUACUCAAACACUUGGCUGCUGUUAAAACGGCCAACUCAGUCAGCUGAUUUUAGCCAUCCCUUCUGGUUAGUUUUAGUCGGGAAUCUUAGUCUCCCAUUUUUCUUAGUGUCUUAUUGGCCAAGGUCACGUCGAAUCCUAAUCACCACAUAUCGAUCAGCCUACCAGUGACUUUGAUUCACGGGACUUCAGUUUCAGUUAUUCUAGCACGCUGUGUGGUCAGAAAUGUGCUUUCCCCAUCCCCACAGUUUUCCCUCCUACUGAACUUUUACUCCUGUGGGCUGAAUCUCUUUGUCUGAUUGUGUGUGCAUCUAAACCAAACACUUCUCCUUUCCCAGCUAGCAAUGAGGAAUCACCCCAGAAGCAGCCCUCUUCCGGGGAGCCAGAACUGAUUGAAUCGGCCCGAAAUCGGGUGUCAGACUCAGCCCGAAUCAAAAUGAAUGACUGCCCAGAAUCGGCCCAAGUACAUCGGGCCGUUUCAGUCUACCGGAAUUCAGCCGACUGUGCCGGCAUCUUACCAGAAUCCCCCCAGAAGCGACCUGAUGCAAAUGAAACACCAUACACCUGGUGACCAUGUCAGCGUGCAUGCGCCUGGCCCGCCACAGAAGUCGCUACAGCGCGAUGGGACAAGGACAUCCCAGCCGGGCAAACCCUCCCCUAACUCGGACCACGCUGAGCCAAUUGUGCGCCGUCUCAUGGGUCUCCCAGGUGUGGCCGCUGCGCCACUCAGGAGGCCCCAUCCACAAAGUUGUUAAUGCUUAUCAAUUGCCUUGCACAAAGUAUCAAAAUACUACACUGGACUCUUAAAGGAAUUAAUUUAAAUGCUAAUUGUAUUUUUUUGAUCACAGAAACCAUGAGAAAAUAUGGAAAAAUAAAUAAUGAAAUGUUAAUGUCAAAUUCCUUAUAUUAAGCAAACCAGAUAGCACAAUUGUAUUUUUUAAAUUUACUGGCAGAUAGCCAAGGGCACACUAACACUCAGACAUAAUUUACAAAAAGCAUUUGUGUUUCGUGAGUCUGCCAGCUCAGCGGUAGUAACGGAAUGACCAUGGAUGUUCUCUUGAUAAGUGUGUGAAAUGGACCAUUUUCCUUUCAAAAUGUAUUGAGUACUUUUGGGUGUUAGGAAAAAUAUGGAGUAAAAAGUACAUUAUUCUCUUCAGGGAUGUAUUAAAGUAAUAGUUGUACUUCGGUCGGCGUCGCCGGUCUACUAGCCAUCACCGAUCCCCUUUUCUGUUUGUUUUGUCUUUGGUUCUUUUCACACCUGGUUAAAUUUGCCUUAAUUUCUGUGUGCAUAUAUUUACCCUGUUGCCUGCCUAGGUUUGUGUGGGAUUAUUCUUUCAUUGUGAUGUGCUCGGUGAGGUUAUGCCAUUUUUUGUUUUCACCGAUUCAUAAGAGUGUGUUAUUGUCGGUACUUUGUUUGUUCCUCCGUGCGUUUGUACGGGUUCUCUGUUGUCGAGGGCGUUGUACCUUUUUGAUUGUGCCAUACAUGUGUGGUGGACUUGCCAAUUAAAGUACGCUUCUCAGACA
Long non-coding RNA from Salvelinus fontinalis (brook trout), 1549 nucleotides. RefSeq lists it as uncharacterized. NCBI's taxonomy places the organism in Eukaryota, Metazoa, Chordata, Actinopteri, Salmoniformes, Salmonidae. The transcript has 3 exons. The record is from RefSeq and is a predicted model, not a curated record.